CCUACGGGAGGCAGCAGUGAGGAAUAUUGGUCAAUGGGCGGGAGCCUGAACCAGCCAAGCCGCGUGCGGGAAGAAGGUACUGCGUAUCGUAAACCUCUUUUGUCAGGGAACAAAGGCGGGGACUAGUCCCCGGAUGAGGGUACCUGAAGAAAAAGCAUCGGCUAACUCCGUGCCAGCAGCCGCGGUAAUACGGAGGGUGCGAGCGUUAUCCGGAUUUAUUGGGUUUAAAGGGUGCGCAGGCGGCCCGUUAAGUCCGCGGUAAAAGCCCGGGGCUCAACCCCGGCGAGCCGUUGAAACUGGCGGGCUGGAGUUGGAGAGAAGUACGCGGAAUUCGCGGUGUAGCGGUGAAAUGCUUAGAUAUCGCGCAGAACCCCGAUUGCGAAGGCAGCGUACCGGCUCCACACUGACGCUGAGGCACGAAAGCGUGGGUAGCGAACAGGAUUAGAUACCCUUGUAGUC
Molecule: ribosomal RNA, 459 nt
Filed under: uncultured bacterium
Lineage: Bacteria
Description: partial 16S ribosomal RNA
Rfam family: Bacterial small subunit ribosomal RNA
Source: RNAcentral